RNAcentral lists this ribosomal RNA (440 nucleotides) under uncultured bacterium. RNAcentral's name for it is "partial 16S ribosomal RNA". It matches the Rfam family "Bacterial small subunit ribosomal RNA", at positions 338 to 795 of the family's 1533-position model. The record is from RNAcentral.
CCUACGGGUGGCAGCAGUGAGGAAUAUUGGUCAAUGGGCGAUAGCCUGAACCAGCAAAGUCGCGUGAAGGAUGACGGCCCUAUGGGUUGUAAACUUCUUUUAUAGGGGAGUAAAUGGCAGUAUGUAUAGUAUUAGCACUGGAUAAUUCCGAUAAAGCAGCGGCGGUAAUACGGAGGGUGCCAGCGUUAUUCGGAAUGAAUGGGCGUAAAGCGGGCGUAGGCGGGGUAAUAAGUCAGAUGGGAAAUUCUGUAGCUUAACCACAAAACUGCAGUUGAAACUGUCAUCCUGGAGUUUGGUAGAGGUAGGCGGAAUUCGUGGUGUAGCGGUGAAAUGCGUAGAGAUCACGAAGAACUCUGAUUGCGAAGGCAGCCUGCUGGACCGUAACUGACGCUGAUGCACGAAAGCGUGGGUAUCAAACAGGAUUAGAUACCCUUGUAGUC